Ciona intestinalis (vase tunicate) is the source of this 70-nucleotide microRNA precursor. Lineage: Eukaryota; Metazoa; Chordata; Ascidiacea; Phlebobranchia; Cionidae. The record is from Ensembl.
ACCCCGCUUAAUCGACCCACGUUUAACCGGACCAGUUUGGCUUGGUCCCAAUGUGGUCCGAUUAAGCGGG